Molecule: ribosomal RNA, 440 nt
Filed under: uncultured bacterium
Lineage: Bacteria
Description: partial 16S ribosomal RNA
Rfam family: Bacterial small subunit ribosomal RNA
Source: RNAcentral
CCUACGGGAGGCAGCAGUGGGGAAUAUUGCACAAUGGGGGAAACCCUGAUGCAGCGACGCCGCGUGAGUGAAGAAGUAAUUCGUUAUGUAAAGCUCUAUCAGCAGGGAAGAAAAUGACGGCACCUGAGUAAGAAGCCCCGGCUAACUACGUGCAAGCAGACGCGGGAACACGGAGGGGGCCAGCGUUAUCCGGAUUUACUGGGGUUAAAGGGAGCGUAGUCGGCAGUGCAAGUCCGGAGUGAAAGGCGUGGGCGCAACCCCCGGACUGCUCUGGAAACUGUACGGCUGGAGUGCAGGAGAGGUAAGUGGAAUUCCUAGUGUAGCGGUGAAAUGCGUAGAUAUUAGGAGGAACACCAGUGGCGAAGGCGGCUUACUGGACUGUAACUGACGUUGAGGCUCGAAAGCGUGGGGAGCAAACAGGAUUAGAUACCCCGGUAGUC